RNAcentral lists this ribosomal RNA (444 nucleotides) under Rhithropanopeus harrisii. Its description in RNAcentral is "SSU rRNA". It matches the Rfam family "Eukaryotic small subunit ribosomal RNA", at positions 587 to 1020 of the family's 1831-position model. The record is from RNAcentral. Lineage: Eukaryota; Metazoa; Arthropoda; Malacostraca; Decapoda; Panopeidae.
AUCGCUCAUAGCGUAUAUUAAGUUGUUGCGGUUAAAAGCUCGUAGUUGGAUUUCAGUUCUGGACUGACGGUUCACCGCCCGGUGCACACUGUCACGCUCCGAACAGCCACAACAGCCCGCUGGCUCGCACGGGGUGCUCUUCAUCGAGUGUCCCGCGUGGCCGGCAGAGUUUACUUUGAAAAAAUUAGAGUGCUCAAAGCAGGCUACACUGACGGCCUGAAUGCCUAUGCAUGGAAUAAUGGAAUAGGACCUCGGUUCUAUUUUGUCGGUUUUCUGAACCCGAGGUAAUGACUAAUAGGAACAGGCGGGGGCAUUCGUAUUGCGACGCUAGAGGUGAAAUUCUUGGACCGUCGCAAGACGAACUACUGCGAAAGCAUUUGCCAAGGAUGUUUUCAUUAAUCAAGAACGAAAGUUAGAGGUUCGAAGACGAUCAAGAUACCGCCA